RNAcentral lists this long non-coding RNA (481 nucleotides) under Oreochromis niloticus (Nile tilapia). Its description in RNAcentral is "lncRNA (ENSONIG00000029199.1)". The record is from RNAcentral. Lineage: Eukaryota; Metazoa; Chordata; Actinopteri; Cichliformes; Cichlidae.
AUACGUGCCGAAGCCUCUGCAAGCUUCUGCAGUAACAGAGUAUACGUCUUCAUUUUGGAUAGUUUUCCAUGUGUCUUAUGGCCAGCAUUCAUUUUAGUAACGUAAACUGUAGUUUUAGUUUUAAGUUUAGUUUAUAGUUAAUUAUAACAACUUUGAUUCACACUUUUGUUUUGGCAGGUUGUUUGUGCCAGCAGAAACCAUUCAUGAAAGAUGCACCCCUGAGGCUUACAGAGGUAUACUCCAUCAUCUGCUAAGCAGGACAAAAGAUGACAGCUCUUUGCAAGAGGUUCUUCUCAUGUGUUGCCACAAAAGUUUCUGCCCCCUGUGAUUGAUAAAUACAGCAUUUUGAGCUGGUUCCGGAGGGGCAAAUAAGAGCUGCUUCAAUGACAGUCUAGUAAGUAAGAGCUGCUCACCUCAAUUAUGGGAGUUAAUGAAUAGAUAAUCACAUUUUGAAUUUAGAUUUGCUGCUUGUGUUGCAAGA